RNAcentral lists this ribosomal RNA (818 nucleotides) under Phytophthora irrigata. Its description in RNAcentral is "eukaryotic LSU rRNA". It matches the Rfam family "Eukaryotic large subunit ribosomal RNA", at positions 40 to 685 of the family's 3401-position model. Lineage: Eukaryota; Oomycota; Peronosporomycetes; Peronosporales; Peronosporaceae. The record is from RNAcentral.
AUAUCAAUAAGCGGAGGAAAAGAAACUAACAAGGAUUCCCCUAGUAACGGCGAGUGAAGCGGGAAGAGCUCAAGCUUAAAAUCUCUGCGCAAGUUUUGCGCGGCGAAUUGUAGUCUAUGGAGGCGUGGUCAGCGCGGGCGCUCGGGGCAAGUUCCUUGGAAGAGGACAGCAUGGAGGGUGAUACUCCCGUUCAUCCCUGGGCCGCUUGCGCGUACGACCCGUGUUCUUCGAGUCGCGUUGUUUGGGAAUGCAGCGCAAAGUAGGUGGUAAAUUCCAUCUAAAGCUAAAUAUUGGUGCGAGACCGAUAGCGAACAAGUACCGUGAGGGAAAGAUGAAAAGAACUUUGAAAAGAGAGUUAAAGAGUACCUGAAACUGCUGAAAGGGAACCGAAUCGUUUCCAGUGUCUAUAAUCCGCGGCAUAUUUCAUCGUCGAGUGUGUGCGUGUGCGUGCGUUCGCAGUGGCUUUUUUGGCUGCGCGGCGCGUGUGCUGUGCGUGUGCUUGGUGGUGCCCUGUGCUGCGGUGGGACGUCAAGGUCAGUUCGUGUGCUGCGGGAAAUGGCUGCCGAGGAGGUAGGGCUUACGCUCUGCGUUUGUCUAUUAUAUCUUGGUGGACGAGUCGUCGCGGUUGGGACUGAGGUGCCUACAACGUGCUUUUGAGUGUGUGUGUCUCUCUGUGUGCCCGGUGUGCGGAUAGCUUGCUAUGCGUGUGCUGUCGUGCGUGGAUGGGGGCGUGCUGUAACUUGUUGCCGUUCGGGACGUUGACGAAAUGGAGCGAUCCGACCCGUCUUGAAACACGGACCAAGGAGUCUAACAUGUGU